AGUUACAAGACAAAUUUACCUUGGGCUUUGAAAAUAGAGGCAAACCUGAGCUGAACAAAUACACAAAAUGUCAGGGUCUCCUGUAGAACCAACCACGUGGAAAAACUUAGUGCUGUAUUUCCAUUUUCCACCAGGAGUCUCUCCUUGUUUGGCCUGGCUGGUGCUUGAUAGAAGAUUUCUGAAGCUCUGCUUCUGCCCACUGAAGGACAGGCAAAGAAAGAAGGAAAAAAAGAUGCAUUUGAGCAAGUGAAUAAAGAAGGAAUGACAGAAGUGAAUAUUGCUAUUUUUGCAACUUCAUACUGAAAUAAUGAAUCUAGGCAGUCAUUAUGAAUUGUUAACAUCAAAAAAAGAGAGACAAACAGACAUGACAUGUCUUUUCAUGGAAGUAUGCAAUACUCCCCACAAAACGUUAUUACCAGAAAACAAAAACAAAACAUAUAGGUGCCCCAUGCUGCCUUGACAUGCAGAAGAAAUAAUUCUGGAUAUGUUACUUUGCCAAAAUAGCACAGGAAGAAUUUCCUACUUGGGAAUCUACUUUGUACAAUGCAGUCCACCUACUCCAAAGACCAGUUCUCAGAAUCUCAAGGGCAGGUCUCUUCUUUUAAUUUGAAACAAAGAUUUCAUCUGCAAAGAAGAAAAUAGGAAGAAUGACAGCAUCUUUCCAUUUGUCAUGCUCAGUUACAGUCAUACUGAAUGAUUCACGGAACAGAAUCUAGCACAUCACAUAUUAAUUUUUUUGUCUGAAGGCUUACAAGAUAUCUCACUCAUGAGUUAAUACGGAAACCAACUUUUCUGCAUAAAAUGCUAUUUUGAGGUCAUAUACCUGUUAUAUAUGUUACUAAUAUGAAAUUCACUCUGGCCAUCUGUUAAUUUGGCCCCUCCUAUAGAAGGCUAAAAUUCUAUUUGGCCCCAAGUAAGUUUUUCUGUGUCCCCUUUAUUUGCCUACCCUGAGACAAACCAGGGAAUCAAAUAGUUCGGUGGAAUUUUUUCUUGGUAUCAUGUGUUUCACAAUCACUCAAUAGGCAUAUGUUGACCAUGCUAUAGGACUCAAUCUCCAACCCCUUAGAGAAUAUCCUGACAAAACAUACUGGGUCUCCAGUGGUAUUCAAGUACAUACAUGUGGAAGGCCUAAGAGGUCGAAGGAGAUCAAAUGCACGUAUGUGGCAUUCCAGGUAGAUAUGCAGUAUCUUCUUUCUCUCCUUCCACUAAUCCUACAAGUCAAUUAAAAUACUAGCUGUUUUUUUAAAUCUUCCACAUAAUUAUAGUCACCCUCAAAGCUGGUCUUUGUAUUAGUUUAUGAUUUUUGCUUCUUUAGGAGACAGACCAGGAUGAUGACAUUUGUGGGGCUCUAAGCUACUGGUGACUGCAUAGUGAUUCGUGGAUAUGUUCUGAGGAACAGACUGUUUCAUCAUCCGGGCUUCUGUAAAAUUGGCGAUUAAAAAAAUACUGUGUGCGCACUCUUGUGCAUGCUGCGUCCUGCGUGCCGGUGUGCCUGUGCAUAUGGAGGUGGUGGUCCUCUCUCUAUUCUUUAUUCCAGCAGGAAUUGAGGCUCAGUUUCACACCUCUCUCCGUGCUAUACACAUCCUUUUGGAUUACUUCCUUUUUAGAACAUUUUCUCCCUUUCAAAGCUCUCCUCAGUUUGAGAACAGAAAAUGCACCUAUAACAGGUCCAGAGGGAGAGGGAGAAUGCUGAUUUUUCCUGACUUCCACAUCCAUUGAAGAAUGUGUGUGAAGAUGGACUUUUGAGACCCCACUAAGGGGACACAAAGAGGUGAGGGGCAGAGAGUCACUUUUGCUGGAGAGCGGUGGGAUCACUUCUCAGUGCUACACUUGCAAGGCUGGUCCUCCGAGGCUAUUAAUUUUCUCUUGGCUGCUUUUCUCUUCUCUUACAUGGAACUUUUAAGACAUUUUAGCAAGACUGUGGUUUUAUAGGAUAUAUUUUAUUGAUGAUGAAGUUAGAUUCUAUACUCAGCCUUAUUCCUAUCUAUUCAGAGAUAAUUAGUGACUGUCCAAUCUUGAGAACUUGCUGUGACUGCUCACCCUCAGGGUUGGGGGGUAAAGAAGCCAGAAGCCCGGCAAUAGUGCUCACUGGCUGUCCAUUUGAAAUUUUCUAGCUAACAAGCCAUUCCAGUAAAAAAGCGUAAGUGUACCAAGCCAAGGGAGAAUGGGACCACAUCUGACCAGCAAACAAUGGGAUGAAAUAUUUCAUUGAUUUGCUCUGGCCCCGUUGCCCAUAUUCAAUACAUGGGAUUUCCCUCCUCCAAAUAUUUUUUUGCUCAACAUGGGGACUUAUUUAAAUGUAUAUGAAGUUUCCGCUUGGAGACAUACUUUCAUAUAAGUAACCACUUUCAUAUAAAUCAACCACUUGGAACUGAUAAUACAUAAAACAAAAAUGUUUGAAUAAUAAAAUAUAGUAAACCAUGGGCCUAUCACAUUAUAUCACAUGUAUUUAUUGAAUUUAUUGGGGAAAGAGAAGAGGAAGAAUUUUUAAAAACCCAGAUAUACAGCCUCCUGAGCCAAACUGGACAUCAUUGCUGGUGCUAGAAGGUCCAUUUGCACCUCAGCUGCCUUGAUAAACUGCAGUUGGCAAAACACAUGUCACAGAAUCAUCUCUUAGAUAUUGGAAGGAGCACUGAAGCAUCACUGGUUUGUGGUCUUGGGAGAGCCAAGUCAUAAUACCAUUUUAAAGGUUUAUACACUUACUCUUUGCUGAGCACUGGAGAAAGCCUGGGUCUACAAAAAGUGAUGCAUUUGUUGCCUUGCUCUCAAGAUGCCACCUCUUUGAGAAAACCAAACUAAAAAGCCCCGAAAAAUAAGUCACAGAGAAUGAGAUAUGACAAAGCUGGAUGAGACCACAUGUCAGUGACAGACCUAAGGUACAGACCUCCCAUUCCUCACUGCGAUGCAGGUAAGUGGCCUCGCUGUGACUUCCGUCAGUCAUGCCUCUCCAUUUCCCAGCUUUGGUCUUUGUAAAGCGCAGGUCACCUUGAUGUAUUUUUUUCAUUAUGUUAAAGACAAUGAAGCUUGACAGCACAGUUGUUUACAAGAAUGAAAAUUUGGAUUUAAAUGAAAUGUCCAAAAAUAUGUUAUUAAUAAAAAAAUUAUGAAACAUCUAUCCAAAAGAAUGUGCAGCUAUUAAAAUGAUUUCAUACCUUUCAGUUUACUGGCUUGAAAAAUGUUGAUAUCCAAUGAAAAAAAGCAGGUUAUAGCAUUUUUAUGAAACUAUUACAUGAGUAAGAUUUUUUUCCUCCACUCUCCGGACAUAAGAAAUGUCACAUUUUAAAAUUCCACUGCUGUUUAUAGGUGGCAGGUAAUCUGACAUUGUCACCAGGGUUGUGUGUGUUUGUUUGUUUGUUUGUUUGUUUUAGAGUAGGAUGUUUGCAGGACCUGGUUCAGACCUUCCGAGCAGGCAAUGCAGUCCUGGGUGCCAAGCCUUGUUCUCCACUGUCUAGGAGGAGCCCCAUCACAAGGGACCGAGGGGACCCUCUCUUCCCUGUCAAGCUGUCAAAUGUCCAUAGUAGUAACGCUUGAAGUGAGUGUGAAGAUUCAAUGGGAUGAUCCAUAGAAAGCACUAUAUGGAGUCAGAUGAGUCCUGAUACACUGAUAUAUGCCAUAAUUCUACACUACAAUCCAUUGCCUGCCAACAACUCUAAUAUCACGAGAACUAAUCUGUUGUGCUGGUGAAAUGUUCUUAUCUCAGGUAAAUUACAUGAAGCUCCCUUGUCAGCUCCAAAUGCAAAGUAAUCCAUGAACCAGUGCUCUUUAAAAAUCUAGUUGCUGGGUUGGAUAGCCAGUCAGAUGCUACUUCAGCCUUCAUGUCACCAAGGCUCAAAGUAGAUACUCUUCAGUUCAGAGUUGAUGCUUUUACAUCUUCUGGUGUCAUUAACAACGUGUAAGCUUUGGAAGUAUCCUGUGUAGAGCAAAGGAAACAGUCAACAAAACAAAGAGACAACUCAUGGAGUGGGAGAAGAUAUUUGCAAAUGACAUUAUGGAUAAAGGGCUGGUAUCCAAGAUUUAUAAAGAACUUCUAAAACUCAACACCCAAUAAACAACCCAGUCAAUAAAUGGGCAAAAGACAUGAACAGAUACUUCUCCAAAGACACACAAAUGGCUAACAGACACAUGAAAAAAUGUUCAUCACCAUUAGCUAUCAGGGAAAUUCAAAUCAAAAUCACAUUGAGAUACCACUUUACACCAGUUAGAAUAGCAAAAAUUAACAAGACAGGAAACAAGUGUUGGCAAGGAUGUGGAGAAAGGGGAACCCUCUUACCCUGUUCAUGGGAAUGCAAGCUGGUACAGCCACUCUGGAAAACAGUAUGGAGGUUCCCCAAGAUGUUAAAAAUAGAGCUAUACUAUGACCCAGCAAUUGCACUACUAGUUAUUUACCCCAAAGAUACAGAUGUGUAGUAAAAGAAGUGGCACAUGUACCCCAAUGCUCAUAGCAACAUUGUCCAAAAUAGCCAAACUGUGGAAGAAGCUGAGAUGCCCUUCAACAGAUGAACGGAUAAAGAAGAUGUGGUUCAUAAAUACAGUGGAAUAUUACUCAGUCAUCAGAAAGGAUGACUAUCCACCAUUUACAUCUACAUGGAUGGGACUGGAGGGGAUUAAGCUACGUGAAAUAAGUCAAGCAGAGAAAGACAAGUAUCAUAUGAUUUUACUUGUAUGUGGAACAUAAGGAAUAGCAUGGAGGACCACAGGGGAAGGGAGGGAAAACUGAAUGGGAAGAAAUCAGAGAGGGAGACAAACCAUGAGAGACUGGACUCUGGGAACCAAACUGAGGGAGGGUUAUGGAAGGGAGGGGGUUGGGGAGAUGGGGUAACAGGAUGACGGAUAUUAAGGAGGGCAGGUGUGGUGAUGAGCACUGGGUGUUAUACAAAACUAAUGAAUUG
Molecule: long non-coding RNA, 4889 nt
Organism: Mustela lutreola (European mink)
Lineage: Eukaryota; Metazoa; Chordata; Mammalia; Carnivora; Mustelidae
Exons: 9
Source: RefSeq, a predicted model, not a curated record